RNAcentral lists this ribosomal RNA (459 nucleotides) under uncultured bacterium. RNAcentral describes it as "partial 16S ribosomal RNA". It matches the Rfam family "Bacterial small subunit ribosomal RNA", at positions 338 to 795 of the family's 1533-position model. The record is from RNAcentral.
CCUACGGGAGGCAGCAGUGAGGAAUAUUGGUCAAUGGUCGGGAGACUGAACCAGCCAAGCCGCGUGAGGGAUGAAGGUACAGAGUAUCGUAAACCUCUUUUGUCAGGGAACAAAGGCGGGGACGUGUCCCCGGAUGAGUGUACCUGAAGAAAAAGCAUCGGCUAACUCCGUGCCAGCAGCCGCGGUAAUACGGAGGAUGCGAGCGUUAUCCGGAUUUAUGGGGUUUAAGGGGUGCUCAGGCGGUCUUUUAAGUCAGCGUGCAAAGCCCGGGGGUAAACCCAGCGCCGCCGUUGAAACUGGCAGUCUCGAGUUGGAGAGAAGUAGGCGGAAUGCGUGGUGUAGCGGUGAAAUGCAUAGAUAUCGCGCAGAACUCCGAUUGCGAAGGCAGCAUGCCGGCUCCACACUGACGCUGAGGCACGAAAGCGUGGGUAUCGAACAGGAUUAGAUACCCCGGUAGUC